RNAcentral lists this ribosomal RNA (433 nucleotides) under uncultured bacterium. RNAcentral's name for it is "partial 16S ribosomal RNA". It matches the Rfam family "Bacterial small subunit ribosomal RNA", at positions 29 to 507 of the family's 1533-position model. The record is from RNAcentral.
AGCGAACGCUGGCGGCAGGCCUAACACAUGCGAGUCGAACGAACUCUUCGGAGUUAGUGGCGGACGGGUGAGUAACACGUGGGAACGUGCCUUUUGGUUCGGAAUAACUCAGGGAAACUUGUGCUAAUACCGAAUGUGCCCUUCGGGGGAAAGAUUUAUCGCCAUUAGAGCGGCCCGCGUCUGAUUAGCUAGUUGGUGAGGUAACGGCUCACCAAGGCGACGAUCAGUAGCUGGUCUGAGAGGAUGACCAGCCACACUGGGACUGAGACACGGCCCAGACUCCUACGGGAGGCGGCAGUGGGGAAUCUUGCGCAAUGGGCGGAAGCCUGACGCAGCCAUGCCGCGUGAAUGAUGAAGGUCUUAGGAUUGUAAAAUUCUUUCACCGGGGACGAUAAUGGCGGUACCCGGAGAAGAAGCCCCGGCUAACUUCGUG